This 79-nucleotide transfer RNA is filed under the name Paludisphaera borealis. RNAcentral describes it as "tRNA-OTHER". Lineage: Bacteria; Pseudomonadati; Planctomycetota; Planctomycetia; Isosphaerales; Isosphaeraceae. The record is from RNAcentral.
GUGUGAGUUAAUCUGCGUCCGGUCUCGAAAACCGGUGUACCGCUCCGCGGUACCGUGGGUUCGAAUCCCACCUCCUCCG